This is a regulatory RNA element of 59 nucleotides. It matches the Rfam family "Selenocysteine insertion sequence 3". The record is from Rfam.
AUCUGACACGCGCCGACGGUGUCCAGUCUGGGCCCGACUUUCGGUCGCGGAGCGAUGAC